GGGGUUGUGGCUUAGCGGUAGAGCACUUGCCUAGCACUUGCAAGGCACUGGGUUCGAUCCUCAGCACCA
Ictidomys tridecemlineatus (thirteen-lined ground squirrel) is the source of this 69-nucleotide non-coding RNA. Lineage: Eukaryota; Metazoa; Chordata; Mammalia; Rodentia; Sciuridae. The record is from Rfam.